Long non-coding RNA from Callorhinus ursinus (northern fur seal), 1142 nucleotides. RefSeq lists it as uncharacterized. The record is from RefSeq and is a predicted model, not a curated record. Lineage: Eukaryota; Metazoa; Chordata; Mammalia; Carnivora; Otariidae.
CUCCUCUACUGAAUUUCAAGAACCUUUGUCCCUGGAAAAAUCUUCCCUACUUGUCCUGUCUCCUCAGGUGUGCCUCCGCACCACCCUCACCUGGACAACAAAGUGCUCAAGUGACUGGCCUGGGUCCUGGGGGAAGGGCAGCAGGAGUGAGGGACAUGCCCCCUCCCCCCAAAGCCACUAUUGGAAUUAGAAGGUAGAAGGAUGUAGAGAGCAAGAUGGAGUCACUCAUGUCAAGCAGGGGCCUAUGCGGAGCAAUGAUGCCAGCCGUUAAGGGUACCUCGGCUACGAGAUAUCGCCGGGACCAGCACCAGCUGACCACACUCCAGAGCUGAUAACAAGCAGGAGCUGAGCAGGUGGGCCGCCGCCCAAGACUGGCCCAAGACUGAUAGAGCCCUUUAAGCGGGAGAGGAUUUUGGCAGCAAACUGUCAGACUCUCCAGCCAUGACCCCUCUAUGCCUGGCCACUUAAAAAAGGCAGCGGCCCCCGAAGGCUCUGCCCGAUGGAUCCCCCAACAGAACUGAGAUCCUUCGCCACUUGAACAGAAUAAGAAGAAGCAGUAAGUGCCAAGAGCUGACCCGGGACCAGGCCCAGGUCUCGUCUCAAUGAGUCAACACUCAACACGUGGCCCCUCCCCUCUUCCUUCCAUGUCUCCUCCUUUCACUUCCUUUCCCUUCCCUUCUGUUCUUGAGCCAUUCAACCCAAGAGCCAUUUGGAGGGUCCCAGCAAGAGUAUCCAGGUCAUAAGAGCCAAAGAAAGAAUCAGGAAUAUUCCGGAUUGAAAAAGACUCAAGAGACUUCACAGGACAACUAACUAUAGGCAACGUGAGAUCCUGAACUGGACCUUUUUGCUACAGAGGACAUCAUGUGGACAAAUGGUGAAACUUGAAUGGGUCUGAACUUUAGAUGGUAAUGAUGUAUCAGUGUUAAUUUCUUGCACUGAUGGAUGUAUUGUGAUUCCACUGGAGAACAUCCCUGUUUGAAGGAAAUACACAUUGAAAUAUUUAGGGUGGUGGGCAUUGUAUCAACCAACUUCCAAUCGCUUCUUGGCCUUUUGGCUAAGAUCAAGUGCAACCAACUUCCAGUGGUUCAGGGGUAAAGAGUUAUUUGAAUUGUAUUCGCAACCUCUCUGUAAGUUUGAGAUUG